RNAcentral lists this ribosomal RNA (468 nucleotides) under uncultured bacterium. Its description in RNAcentral is "partial 16S ribosomal RNA". It matches the Rfam family "Bacterial small subunit ribosomal RNA", at positions 28 to 507 of the family's 1533-position model. The record is from RNAcentral.
GACGAACGCUGGCGGCGUGCUUAACACAUGCAAGUCGAACGGAAAGGCCCUGCUUUUGUGGGGUGCUCGAGUGGCGAACGGGUGAGUAACACGUGUGUAACCUGCCCUUGACUUUGGGAUAACUUCAGGAAACUGGGGCUAAUACCGGAUAGGAGCUCCUGCUGCAUGGUGGGGGUUGGAAAGUUUCGGCGGUUGGGGAUGGACUCGCGGCUUAUCAGCUUGUUGGUGGGGUUGUGGCUUACCAAGGCUUUGACGGGUAGCCGGCCUGAGAGGGUGACCGGCCACAUGGGGACUGAGAUACGGCCCAGACUCCUACGGGAGGCAGCAGGGGGGAAUAUUGCACAAUGGGCGGAAGCCUGAUGCAGCAACGCCGCGUGCGGGAUGACGGCCUUCGGGUUGUAAACCGCUUUCGCCUGUGACGAAGCGUGAGUGACGGUAAUGGGUAAAGAAGCACCGGCUAACUACGUG